RNAcentral lists this ribosomal RNA (494 nucleotides) under uncultured bacterium. RNAcentral's name for it is "bacterial SSU rRNA". It matches the Rfam family "Bacterial small subunit ribosomal RNA", at positions 28 to 517 of the family's 1533-position model. The record is from RNAcentral.
GAUGAACGCUAGCGGCAGGCUUAAUACAUGCAAGUCGAGGGGCAGCAGGGAUAGCAAUAUUCGCUGGCGACCGGCGCACGGGUGCGUAACACGUAUACAAUCUGCCUUUUACUGGGGGAUAGCCUUUCGAAAGAGAGAUUAAUACCCCAUAAUAGAUUUCUCGGCAUCGAGAGAUUUUGAAAGUUCCGACGGUAAGAGAUGAGUAUGCGUCUGAUUAGCUAGUAGGUGAGGUAACGGCUCACCUAGGCCACGAUCAGUAGGGGAUCUGAGAGGACUAACCCCCACACGGAUACUGAGACACGGAUCCGACUCCUACGGGAGGCAGCAGUAAGGAAUAUUGGACAAUGCCCGCAAGGGUGAUCCAGCCAUGCCGCGUGCAGGAAGACGGCCCUAUGGGUUGUAAACUGCUUUUAUACAAGAGAAAACCCAUCUACGUGUAGAUGGCUGAUAGUAUUGUAGGAAUAAGCAAUCGGCUAACUUCGUGCCAGCAGCCG